AACAUCGAUUUCCUAAGUAGCGGCGAGCGAACGGGAAACAGCCUAAACCACAAUUGUUACGGCAACUGUGGGGUUGUAGGACUGCAAUAUUCAAAUGACUGUGAACUGGAAUGUUCUGGAAAGUUCAUCCAUAGAGAGUGAAAGACUCGUACAGGCAAGCACGUCAGGCGAUAGCAGUAUCCUGAGUAGGGCGGGACACGAGGAAUCCUGUCUGAAUCCGCCGGGACCACCCGGUAAGGCUAAAUACUCCCAAGAGACCGAUAGUGAACCAGUACCGUGAGGGAAAGGUGAAAAGAACCCCGAACAGGGGAGUGAAAUAGAACCUGAAACCAUACGCUUACAACCUGUCGGAGCGGCUUCGUGCCGUGACGGCGUGCCUAUUGAAUAAUGAGCCUACGAGUUACUAAUCACUGGCAAGGUUAAGUGCACGGAUGCACGGAGCCGAAGCGAAAGCGAGUCUGAAUAGGGCGUUUAGUCAGUGGUUGUAGACGCGAAACCUUGCGAUCUACCCUUGAGCAGGUUGAAGGUUGGGUAAAACCAACUGGAGGACCGAACGAAUAAGCGUUGAAAAGCUUCUCGAUGACUUGAGGGUAGGGGUGAAAGGCUAAUCAAGCUGGGAAAUAGCUCGUACUCCCCGAAAUGCCUUUAGGGGCAGCGUUGUAAUUAAGAGUCUACUGGAGGUAGAGCUACUGAUUGGAUGCGGGGGCUUCACCGCCUACCAAAUCCUGACAAACUCCGAAUGCCAGUAGUAUGAUUUACAGCAGUGAGCGACCGGGUGCUAAUGUCCGGUUACGAGAGUGGAACAACACAGACCAGCAACUAAGGUCCCCAAGAGUAUACUAAGUUGAUCUAACGAUGUUUUGCUGCAGAGACAGCUAGGAUGUUAGCUUGGAAGCAGCUAUUCAUUCAAAGAGUGCGUAACAGCUCACUAGUCGAGCGGCAAAGCGUGGAUAAUAAACGGGCAUCAAGUAUACCACCGAAGUUCUGGGCACGAAAGUGCGGUAGGGGAGCAUUCCAUUCCGCGUUGAAGCCGAACCGUGAGGUUUGGUGGAGUGUAUGGAAAAGCAAAUGAAGGCAUGAGUAACGAUAAUGCGGGAGAGUAACCCGCACACCGCAAGACCAAGGUUUCCUGAUCAACGCUAAUCGGAUCAGGGUUAGUCGGGUCCUAAGGGUAAGCCGAACGGUGAUCUCGAUGGAUAAUCGGUUAAUAUUCCGAUACUGACAUAUA
Molecule: ribosomal RNA, 1228 nt
Filed under: Akkermansia muciniphila
Lineage: Bacteria; Pseudomonadati; Verrucomicrobiota; Verrucomicrobiia; Verrucomicrobiales; Akkermansiaceae
Description: partial 23S ribosomal RNA
Rfam family: Bacterial large subunit ribosomal RNA
Source: RNAcentral